Molecule: transfer RNA, 75 nt
Filed under: Alphaproteobacteria bacterium
Lineage: Bacteria; Pseudomonadati; Pseudomonadota; Alphaproteobacteria
Description: tRNA-Val
Rfam family: tRNA
About the family: Transfer RNA (tRNA) molecules are approximately 80 nucleotides in length. Their secondary structure includes four short double-helical elements and three loops (D, anti-codon, and T loops).
Source: RNAcentral
GGGCAGUUAGCUCAGCGGUAGAGCGUCUCCUUUACACGGAGAGGGUCGGGGGUUCAAUCCCCUCACUGCCCACCA